ACGUGAUCUGAGUUCAGACCGGAGUAAUCCAGGUCAGUUUCUAUCUAUAAAGGGCUUUUUCUAGUACGAAAGGACCGAAAAAACAUGGCCAAUGUUUGAUACAAGCCAUACUCAUCAACUUAUGAUUUAAACUAAAUAAACAAGUGACCUUUAACCCUCUUCUAGACGAGAA
This 172-nucleotide ribosomal RNA is filed under the name Ecnomiohyla veraguensis. RNAcentral describes it as "partial 16S ribosomal RNA". The record is from RNAcentral. Lineage: Eukaryota; Metazoa; Chordata; Amphibia; Anura; Hylidae.